Molecule: small RNA, 176 nt
Filed under: Arabidopsis thaliana (thale cress)
Lineage: Eukaryota; Viridiplantae; Streptophyta; Magnoliopsida; Brassicales; Brassicaceae
Description: ATSL221930
Source: RNAcentral
GAGAAUUUUAGAAUUUAAAAGGAUAUAUAGUUAAAUUGGUAAAGAUCUUAGGCGAAAUUUAGAGGUUGUCAGUUCGAGUGACGUUUGGAACGAAACUAACAUUACAUGCUUUGGUUUCGAAUCUGGAGGAAUUACGGAUUUCGGCCCAAAACCUCAUAAUAUUCAGGAAAAAAAAA